This 405-nucleotide unclassified non-coding RNA is filed under the name soil metagenome. Its description in RNAcentral is "partial contains 5.8S ribosomal RNA, internal transcribed spacer 2, and large subunit ribosomal RNA". The stretch from base 1 to 121 matches the Rfam family "5.8S ribosomal RNA", at positions 35 to 154 of the family's 154-position model. The record is from RNAcentral.
GAUGAAGAACGCAGCGAAAUGCGAUAAGUAAUGUGAAUUGCAGAAUUCAGUGAAUCAUCGGAUCUUUGAACGCACCUUGCGCCCUUUGGCCAUUCCGAAGGGCAUGCCUGUUUGAGUAUCAUGAACACCUCAACUCUUUAUGGUUUUCCAUGAUGAGCUUGGACUCUGGGGGUUUUGCUGGCUCACAGUCGGCUCCUCUAGAAUGAAUCAGCUUACCAGUGUUUGGUGGGUAUCAUGGGUGUGAUAACUAUCUACGCUUGUGGUUUUUCCACCAGGUAACCUUCAGCAGUGGAGGUUCGCUGGAGCUCAUAGAUGUCUCUCCUCAGUGAGGACAGCCCUUUGAAUGUUUGAUCUCAAAUCAGGUAGGACUACCCGCUGAACUUAAGCAUAUCAAUAAGCGGAGGA